RNAcentral lists this ribosomal RNA (433 nucleotides) under uncultured bacterium. RNAcentral's name for it is "partial 16S ribosomal RNA". It matches the Rfam family "Bacterial small subunit ribosomal RNA", at positions 29 to 507 of the family's 1533-position model. The record is from RNAcentral.
AACGAACGCUGGCGGCAUGCCUAACACAUGCAAGUCGAACGAGACCUUCGGGUCUAGUGGCGCACGGGUGCGUAACGCGUGGGAACCUGCCCUUAGGUUCGGAAUAACUCCCCGAAAGGGGUGCUAAUACCGGAUAAUGUCUUCGGACCAAAGAUUUAUGGCCUUUGGAUGGGCCCGCGUUGGAUUAGCUAGUUGGUAGGGUAAAAGCCUACCAAGGCGACGAUCCAUAGCUGGUCUGAGAGGAUGACCAGCCACACUGGGACUGAGACACGGCCCAGACUCCUACGGGAGGGAGCAGUGGGGAAUAUUGGACGAGGGGCGAAAGCCUGAUCCAGCAAUGCCGCGUGAGUGAUGAAGGCCUUAGGGUUGUAAAGCUCUUUUACCCGGGAUGAUAAUGACAGUACCGGGAGAAUAAGCACCGGCUAACUCCGUG